GACGAACGCUGGCGGCGUGCUUAACACAUGCAAGUCGAACGGAAAGGCCCUGCUUUUGUGGGGUGCUCGAGUGGCGAACGGGUGAGUAACACGUGAGUAACCUGCCCUUGACUUUGGGAUAACUUCAGGAAACUGGGGCUAAUACCGGAUAGGAGCUCCUGCUGCAUGGUGGGGGCUGGAAAGUUUCGGCGGUUGGGGAUGGACUCGCGGCUUAUCAGCUUGUUGGUGGGGUAGUGGCUUACCAAGGCUUUGACGGGUAGCCGGCCUGAGAGGGUGACCGGCCACAUUGUGACUGAGAUACGGCCCAGACUCCUACGGGAGGCAGCAGUGGGGAAUAUUGCACAAUGGGCGGAAGCCUGAUGCAGCAACGCCGCGUGCGGGAUGGCGGCCUUCGGGUUGUAAACCGCUUUCGCCUGUGACGAAGCGUGAGUGACGGUAAUGGGUAAAGAAGCACCGGCUAACUACGUG
RNAcentral lists this ribosomal RNA (468 nucleotides) under uncultured bacterium. RNAcentral's name for it is "partial 16S ribosomal RNA". It matches the Rfam family "Bacterial small subunit ribosomal RNA", at positions 28 to 507 of the family's 1533-position model. The record is from RNAcentral.